UAUUCCUCUCGAGCCUAUAGGCUCCCACGCUAGCCGCCGCCCCUCAACCUGCCAGCAUACCGGAGCACGCCUCUCACCACUCGUCGGAGAUCCUCCGUCCUGGCAGGCCGCCCAUCACUAUUCCCCUGCGACCCUCCACCUUGGCGGCGCCGUCCCUCGUCACGACUCCCUUGUGACCCUCGAUCCCGAUGUGUCAUCCCUCGUCGCAAAUCCCCUGAGAUCCUGCAUCCCAACGCGCUGCCCUUUUUCAUCGCUUUCCUACGACCAACCACGUCUACUACCUCCGCUCGGGGGCUCGCGACUAGGAGGAGAGCUGCAGCUACCACCAUCCUCGCGAUCGCGCCUCCACGCUCGGUCGGGUAGGCUGCUACGACGCUGGGGGAGAAGGACAUAAGUGCAGUGCAUGGCAAGGUCGAGUACUUGUUGGACCUGAGGGCUUCUGAUCCAUAGUUCUCUGCAUGAUCAUCCAUCAGCAUCUGGUGAAAUUAGCACACAGAGCUGCAUAAGGCUUUCUCCCCACUACAACUGGAGUUGAAGAGCGCAAGGAAGUUUGAUCAGGAUAUAUACUGGAUAUUUUAUUAGAAGUUGGUGGUAAAGAUGAAUUAAUGGUUGAUCCACCCUAUUGUUCUCACCGCACUUCAUGCAAAAUCAUUGGAUUCAAAACAUAAAUGGAUGAUUAUAUGGGUGUGUGGCAACUCGCCAGUAUACUACAAUGAUGACGAUGAUGUUCCUGUUCAUGAUGAUGAAGGGAUCUGCUUUUAGUUUUAGUUAAGUUAUAGGGAUGAUGUUCAUGUUGCACGAUGUUCCUCGAUUAUGUUUUAGUUAAGUUGUAAGGAUGAUGAUGGAUGCUUUUCAUUUAAGUUUCACCCGUAAGAAACCAUUUAGAUUAUACAUCCCAUUUGGAUGGUUUUCCUCGUGUAAUAUUCACACUUGUAAGGAAGCAGUUUUACCUAAUAUAUAUUUCUUUCUCCCA
Hordeum vulgare subsp. vulgare (domesticated barley) is the source of this 973-nucleotide long non-coding RNA. RefSeq lists it as uncharacterized. The record is from RefSeq and is a predicted model, not a curated record. The transcript is spliced from 4 exons. Lineage: Eukaryota; Viridiplantae; Streptophyta; Magnoliopsida; Poales; Poaceae.